UAUACAGCGAAACUGCGAAUGGCUCAUUAUAUAAGUUAUCGUUUAUUUGAUAGUACCUUACUACUUGGAUAACCGUGGUAAUUCUAGAGCUAAUACAUGCUGAAAAUCCCGACUUCGGAAGGGAUGUAUUUAUUAGAUUAAAAACCAAUGCCCUCUGGGCUCUCUGGUGAUUCAUAAUAACUUCUCGAAUCGCAUGGCCUUGCGCCGGCGAUGGUUCAUUCAAAUUUCUUCCCUAUCAACUUUCGAUGUUUGGGUAGUGGCCAAACAUGGUUGCAACGGGUAACGGAGGGUUAGGGCUCGACCCCGGAGAAGGAGCCUGAGAAACGGCUACUACAUCCAAGGAAGGCAGCAGGCGCGCAAAUUACCCAAUCCCGAUUCGGGGAGGUAGUGACAAUAAAUACUGAUACAGGGCUCUUUUGGGUCUUGUAAUUGGAAUGAGUACAAUUUAAAUCCCUUAACGAGGAACAAUUGGAGGGCAAGUCUGGUGCCAGCAGCCGCGGUAAUUCCAGCUCCAAUAGCGUAUAUUAAAGUUGUUGUGGUUAAAAAGCUCGUAGUUGAACCUUGGGCCUGGCUGGCCGGUCCGCCUCACCGCGUGUACUGGUCCGGCCGGGUCUUUCCCUCUGUGGAACCCCAUGCCCUUCACUGGGUGUGGCGGGGAAACAGGACUUUUACUUUGAAAAAAUUAGAGUGCUCCAGGCAGGCCUAUGCUCGAAUACAUUAGCAUGGAAUAAUGAAAUAGGACGUGCGGUUCUAUUUUGUUGGUUUCUAGGACCGCCGUAAUGAUUAAUAGGGACAGUCGGGGGCAUCAGUAUUCAAUUGUCAGAGGUGAAAUUCUUGGAUUUAUUGAAGACUAACUACUGCGAAAGCAUUUGCCAAGGAUGUUUUCAUUAAUCAGGAACGAAAGUUAGGGGAUCGAAGACGAUCAGAUACCGUCGUAGUCUUAACCAUAAACUAUGCCGACUAGGGAUCGGACGAUGUUAUUUUUGACUCGUUCGGCACCUUACGAGAAAUCAAAGUGC
RNAcentral lists this ribosomal RNA (1019 nucleotides) under Metarhizium macrosemiae. RNAcentral describes it as "SSU rRNA". It matches the Rfam family "Eukaryotic small subunit ribosomal RNA", at positions 75 to 1106 of the family's 1831-position model. The record is from RNAcentral. Lineage: Eukaryota; Fungi; Ascomycota; Sordariomycetes; Hypocreales; Clavicipitaceae.